Molecule: long non-coding RNA, 256 nt
Filed under: Phaseolus vulgaris (common bean)
Lineage: Eukaryota; Viridiplantae; Streptophyta; Magnoliopsida; Fabales; Fabaceae
Description: long non-coding RNA (PVUL_LNC004989)
Source: RNAcentral
GAAAAUGUGAAAAAAAUGAUAUUGUUUGGAUUAAAGUAAAUAGAGUAGAAAGUAUAGGAAAAAUUUAAGAAAGUUUGUGAAUGAUAUGAUAGGUUUGAUUGUAAUUAUACUUUUUUAAUUGAUAGAAAUGUAAAUUUACAAAUUUACCCUAAUAUGUAAAAAUUGUUAAAAGAUUAUUUUGAUAUUUAUAAAUUAUAAUUAUUUUUAAUUAAAAUAUUAUUUUUAUUGAAAUAUUAUUUUCGAUAAUGUAUUAGAG